Molecule: ribosomal RNA, 253 nt
Filed under: uncultured bacterium
Lineage: Bacteria
Description: partial 16S ribosomal RNA
Rfam family: Bacterial small subunit ribosomal RNA
Source: RNAcentral
UACGGAGGGGGCAAGCGUUGUCCGGAUUUAUUGGGCGUAAAGAGCGUGUAGGCGGCUUUACAGGUCCGUUGUGAAAACUCGAGGCUCAACCUCGAGACGCCGGUGGAAACCGUAAAGCUAGAGUCCGGAAGAGGAGAGUGGAAUUCCUGGUGUAGCGGUGAAAUGCGCAGAUAUCAGGAGGAACACCCGUGGCGAAAGCGGCUCUCUGGGACGGUACUGACGCUGAGACGCGAAAGCGUGGGGAGCAAACAGG